AUUCAGUCUGGGGCGUCGGUCGUGCAGAUCGGAAACCGAGUAGGGCUUCCCCGAGCGGGGGCCGUCCGGUCGCACGCAGCGCCUAUGCACCCGACGCAUUUGUCUCUCGUCCGAAGGACGCCGCAUCCGGCUGGGUAGUGCAAGCGCGACGACCUGAGGGGCGGAUGAUGGCAGGUGGCCGCUGGCGUGUCUCGUGCGCGUCGGCGGUUGUUAGCCGUUCCGUCAGUGGUCCGUCACCCGGCCGAGGUGUCGCGAGGCCCUCACGGGCCUCAAUGCCUCCUCCUUGGAGAUGCGGGUCAGAGUGUCGCAGGUGGAAGCCGUCGUCCCGUUCGCACCCCUCCGGGGUGGUCGGGCGAACGGAGGCCGCCGUUGGUGAUGCCGGACCCGUUGGAGGUUGGGGGCUAGCGGCGAGUAGGUCGGUCACCCACCCGACCCGGUCUUGAAACACGGACCAAGGAGUCUAACAUGUGCGCGAGUCAAUGGGUCUUGAACAGGCCCAUGGGCGCAAUGAAAGCGAAGGGCGGCCUAAGCGCCGUCCGAGUUGGGAUCCCCCUCUCGGGGGGGCGCACCAACGACCCGUCCUAUUCGGCUCGCCGAUUGGGCGGAGUUUGAGCGUACACGUUGGGACCCGAAAGAUGGUGAACUAUGCCCGGACAGGACGAGGCCAGAGGAAACUCUGGUGGAGGUCCGCAGCGGUUCUGACGUGCAAAU
Molecule: ribosomal RNA, 711 nt
Filed under: Agelenopsis aperta
Lineage: Eukaryota; Metazoa; Arthropoda; Arachnida; Araneae; Agelenidae
Description: eukaryotic LSU rRNA
Rfam family: Eukaryotic large subunit ribosomal RNA (bases 451-711)
Source: RNAcentral